CAGGGGGAGCAUACAACAGGGACGAACAGAGGAAAACAGGGGAGAAGGAAGAACGGGGGAGCGAGGGUAAUACAGACAGACCAGAGGAGAAAAUCACAAGGAACGAACAGACAGAAAGACGAAGAAGAAGAGGCACAGAACAGAAGGCGAGAGAACAGGACGAACAACACAAGAAUACCAGGAGACAAAUACAGAGAAAGAACAGGCGACCCAAGAAAGUGAAAGACGAGAAGAAGCAGAGGAGAGAGUUUCUUUUCGGCAAGCAACCUCACGCCUUCAUCGCCAUCAUCCUCGACUUGCAGCGACCAGGUAAGUUCUUCAUUUCCCUCUCCUUUACAAUUAUAAUUGCAUAGGUACUGUUCUUAUGCAGUUUUAUUAAUUCACUCUUGCAACUUCAGCAAUUAUAAUCCUGUG
RNAcentral lists this long non-coding RNA (414 nucleotides) under Populus tremula. Its description in RNAcentral is "long non-coding RNA (PTRE_LNC003366)". The record is from RNAcentral. Lineage: Eukaryota; Viridiplantae; Streptophyta; Magnoliopsida; Malpighiales; Salicaceae.